RNAcentral lists this transfer RNA (83 nucleotides) under Blastobotrys adeninivorans. Its description in RNAcentral is "tRNA Leu (CAA) score". It matches the Rfam family "tRNA". From Rfam's summary of the family: Transfer RNA (tRNA) molecules are approximately 80 nucleotides in length. Their secondary structure includes four short double-helical elements and three loops (D, anti-codon, and T loops). The record is from RNAcentral. Lineage: Eukaryota; Fungi; Ascomycota; Dipodascomycetes; Dipodascales; Trichomonascaceae.
GACAAUUUGGCCGAGUUGGUCUAAGGCGUUCGACUCAAGUUCGAAUCUCGAAAGAGGCGUGGGUUCGAAUCCCACAGUUGUCA